This 468-nucleotide ribosomal RNA is filed under the name uncultured bacterium. RNAcentral describes it as "partial 16S ribosomal RNA". It matches the Rfam family "Bacterial small subunit ribosomal RNA", at positions 28 to 507 of the family's 1533-position model. The record is from RNAcentral.
GACGAACGCUGGCGGCGUGCUUAACACAUGCCAGUCGAACGGAAAGGCCCUGCUUUUGUGGGGUGCUCGAGUGGCGAACGGGUGAGUAACACGUGAGUAACCUGCCCUUGACUUUGGGAUAACUUCAGGAAACUGGGGCUAAUACCGGAUAGGAGCUCCUGCUGCAUGGUGGGGGUUGGAAAUUUUCGGCGGUUGGGGAUGGACUCGCGGCUUAUCAGCUUGUUGGUGGGGUAGUGGCUUACCAAGGCUUUGACGGGUAGCCGGCCUGAGAGGGUGACCGGCCACAUUGGGACUGAGAUACGGCCCAGACUCCUACGGGAGGCAGCAGUGGGGAAUAUUGCACAAUGGGCGGAAGCCUGAUGCAGCAACGCCGCGUGCGGGAUGACGGCCUUCGGGUUGUAAACCGCUUUAGCCUGUGACGAAGCGUGAGUGACGGUAAUGGGUAAAGAAGCACCGGCUAACUACGUG